This 394-nucleotide ribosomal RNA is filed under the name uncultured bacterium. RNAcentral's name for it is "bacterial SSU rRNA". It matches the Rfam family "Bacterial small subunit ribosomal RNA", at positions 30 to 429 of the family's 1533-position model. The record is from RNAcentral.
AUUGAACGCUGGCGGCAUGCCUUACACAUGCAAGUCGAACGGCAGCGGACCUUCGGGUGCCGGCGAGUGGCGAACGGGUGAGUAAUAUAUCGGAACGUACCUUUCAGUGGGGGAUAACGUAGCGAAAGUUACGCUAAUACCGCAUAUUCUGUGAGCAGGAAAACAGGGGAUCGCAAGACCUUGCGCUGAUUGAGCGGCCGAUAUCAGAUUAGCUAGUUGUGAGGUAAAGGCUCACCAAGGCGACGAUCUGUAGCGGGUCUGAGAGGAUGAUCCGCCACACUGGAACUGAGACACGGUCCAGACUCCUACGGGAGGCAGCAGUGGGGAAUUUUGGACAAUGGGCGCAAGCCUGAUCCAGCCAUGCCGCGUGAGUGAAGAAGGCCUCGGUUGUAAG